This 17-nucleotide small RNA is filed under the name Arabidopsis thaliana (thale cress). RNAcentral describes it as "ATSL072150". The record is from RNAcentral. Lineage: Eukaryota; Viridiplantae; Streptophyta; Magnoliopsida; Brassicales; Brassicaceae.
GUUCUUUCUCUGUUUAU